GCGGAGGGACACCGGUCUCAGUGGGACGUGAGAGAAGAUCCACAACCGUUGGACAGAAACGGGAAGAGGGACAGCUGGAGAGACAACUGUCCCCCUCAUCACGUCGAGCCGGUUGUAGUAGCUAGUAUCAGCGAGGAGAAAGGAGGAGGAGGAGGAGGGACAGAAGCGCGGCUGGGCACAAAGAGCGGCGAGCAUCCAGAGAGAGGAGGCUGGCGGACGGGACGGAGAGCGGAGCGGAGCGCUGAGGACAACAACGGGGGACUCCAACCGAGAGGCAUCCUUGACUUAUUUCCUGAUCCACACGGGCUCCAUGAGGGUGACUUACUGACGGAACCCCCCCAACACCGUUUAUCAACCCAUAAAAUCAGCAACAGCUGCUCCCCUCCAGAAAUACCUGCUCCUGAUCUGCUCACCGGACCCCCACCGCCCCCCCACCACCACCGCCCCCCCACCCCCCAACCCUCAGGCCCAGCAGCCAUCACCUCCACUUUGUACCGAUGAAGGAGGCCGACGCCAUCAAGUUGUUCGUGGGGCAGAUUCCUCGGAAUCUGGAGGAGAAGGACCUCAAGCCCAUUUUUGAGCAGUUUGGCAAGAUCUACGAGCUGACCGUGAUUAAGGAUAAAUACACCGGGAUGCACAAAGGAUGCGCGUUUCUGACGUACUGCGCACGAGAGUCGGCCCUGAAAGCCCAGAGCGCUCUCCACGAGCAGAAAACACUACCAGGGAUGAAUCGCCCGAUCCAGGUUAAACCGGCUGACAGCGAGGGCCGAGGAGAGGACAGGAAGUUGUUUGUGGGCAUGCUGGGAAAGCAGCAGAGCGAUGAGGAUGUCAGAAGGCUGUUUGAGCCCUUUGGCAGCAUAGAGGAGUGCACAGUUUUGAGAGGACCAGACGGCACAAGCAAAGGGUGUGCUUUUGUCAAAUUUCAGGGACAUGCCGAAGCCCAAGCCGCAAUCAGCAGCUUGCACGGGAGCCGCACAAUGCCUGGAGCGUCGUCCAGUCUGGUGGUGAAGUUUGCUGACACGGAGAAGGAGCGGGGGCUGAGGAGGAUGCAGCAGGUGGCCUCCCAGCUCGGCAUCUUCAGCCCCAUGACCCUCAACUUUCCUGCCUACAAUGCAUACACGCAGGCGGUCAACGCACAGCUUGUCCAACAGCAGGCCCUGGUCGCCCAGUCAGCGUACUUGUCUCCUGUCGCAACAGUCGCUGCAGUACAGAUGCAGCAGAUGGCGGCACUCAAUGCCAACGGAAUCAUCGCAACACCCAUUACACCCAUCACACCGUCCUCGGGUACAAACACUCCCCCCACUAUUGCAGCGACACCUGUGUCAGCUAUCCCCCCACCGAUAGGAGUGAACGGUUACAGUAGCGUGCCGGGUCCCACCAAUGGACAGCAAACGGAGACACUGUACACCAACGGAGUUCACACAUACCAAGGUAGUUUGAUUAAAAUCAGAGAAGCGCACGUGUGGAUCUUCAUGUCGGUUCGAUUUUUGAUACCCACCGCUUUUAUUCCUUUCAUUCCAGCCCAGAGUCCAGCUGCAGCUUUGGAUCCUCUUCAGCAAGCCUACGCAGGCAUGCAGCACUACACAGCGGCGUACCCUGCUGCCUACGGAUUGGUCGGGCAGCCGUUUCCCCAGCAGCCGACACUGGUUGCUCAGCAACACCAGCAGCCCCAGCAACAGCAGCAAAGAGAAGGUCCAGAGGGGUGUAACAUCUUCAUCUACCACCUGCCUCAGGAGUUCAGCGACUCUGAGAUGCUGCAGAUGUUCCUGCCCUUUGGCAAUGUCAUAUCGGCUAAAGUGUUUGUGGACCGAGCCACCAACCAGAGCAAAUGUUUCGGAUUUGUGAGUUUUGACAACCCUGCCAGCGCUCAAGCCGCUAUCCAGGCGAUGAAUGGCUUUCAGAUUGGCAUGAAAAGACUCAAAGUGCAGCUCAAAAGGCCCAAAGAUGCCAACCGCCCGUACUGAGUGACAACGCAGAGAGGGAAGAACAAAUACGUAGAGAUCCUCCCGUCCAAUCAUAAUUCGCGAGGACCCCAUCGCUAUGGCAAUGGUUGCCUAGUGACCGAUAAAGCCCUGAUCCCCCCUUCCUCUCGCAUUGUUGUGACCUCUAAGAGUCCAACUGAAGGUGAAGUCCCAGGGUUCAUUGUGCUUUCAGACUGUCUUCUACCUGUGAACGUCUGCGGAGUGCUG
Fundulus heteroclitus (mummichog) is the source of this 2189-nucleotide RNA transcript. It is a transcript of the gene named CUGBP Elav-like family member 3, with no coding region annotated. The record is from RefSeq and is a predicted model, not a curated record. Lineage: Eukaryota; Metazoa; Chordata; Actinopteri; Cyprinodontiformes; Fundulidae. The transcript has 16 exons.